GUUGAGUAAACCAGUUGCGUCAUUAGGCUUGCCUAUCUCUGAGGCAUCCUAUACCCCGGCUGGUGUUCCCCGUAUACCAUCUCCGCAGCCGCCCACGGUUUAUCAUUGUCAAGUCAUCCACGGAGAGAGGACAGACCAAAACUUUCCAGAGGCAGAGGCGGGGUCCGGGCCGGGAGAUGGUGCUGCAAAAUCCCUCCUUUCCCGCCUCUGGGACCGUCCAGCGUCAGAUGCUCAUCUAGAAGAGAAGACUGAACAGCACGUCCACAUUGGCAACAAAUCCCCAGGUGAAGGACAGAUGAAGACAUAAAAAGGGGAGAGAGAGGGGGAAUGACAUGCAGCAAAGGGCCGCAGGUUGGAGUCAAACCUGCGGUCGCUAACCGGUGUGCCUAACCUACCAACUGAGCUUGUUCUCAAAAGUAUAUGUUUAUAUAUACACAGGGACUAAACAUAAACAGAUACAAAAAUAUGGUUCCAUCUCCGUGCAACGUUUGACUCAUGUGGACCUGCAGGCGACUGACGUUGCCUUCACAUUCGACUGCAUGAUGACCAGAUGCUGAGCACACAACUGUAUGAGAUUUCAGAGGAUCUAAGAAACUAAAACUUUGUCACCCAUGGCGUGGGGGCACACUGCACAUGAAUUAUAACUCUACAGCGCUCAAAUGAAUAAGCCCGCUUAAUAUGUUUGUGUAAUCUGACAACAGUAUAGUUGUGUAAUCUGGACAGCUGUUGUCAAGAGAAAUUUGAUGACACAACCGCUUCAACUCAAACUUACUGAACUCAUUUGCCAAAUCAUGGGAAAGAUCUGAAUGAAAUUGCAACUGGAUUAAACAUAUUAAUUCAUUGACUUGUUGUCACAUGUGGUGUAUUUCAACAGUACCACUUGUGCUUCAUUUCAAAUAAUUCAGAGCUGCAUGACCUCAUCAUAAGGCACUGAAUAUAAGUUAAUGAAAUACUAAACUCACAUUUAAGACGCGUGUGUUGGGAACAGAGACUCCAACAUUUCCCUCUACUCAUUUAAGUGCACUUGGGGGGCUGAAAACCAAAGUUUCCAGGAGGCUGGCAUUACUGUUGUGGUGACUGAUAAACUCUUCUUCUCAUGUGAUCCCUGUGGCCCCACAGACUCUAAACACAGAGGCCCGGGUGACUCAAACACGGCACUCCAACACUCUCUUAACUCUGCUGUCUGUGAUUCACUGCUGUUCAGCUCAGAUGUAAACACAGCCUGUGAGCUCCAACAGCUGACACCACAAAACUUCAGCUACGGCACAAGUUGAACCACCAAGGUGAACACAAACCGUCAUGAUCUUCUCUGAAGUUUAUAGAUACACUACUGACGUGUGUUUGGCAAAUACGGUGUGACAUUGAUUAGAAUUAAAUAUAUAAUGUAUGACAUAUCAACAUAAAUCUCCGUCACAGGGUUUUCCACAGGAUGUGAUGUAUUAGUGCUGGUAUGCAGAACUGGUAUAUGAUGCAUUUUGAUGAAUUGGGCGUUCUUUUGAAUUUCUUACAAAUCUUUCAGUCAGAUAUGUAUUCCAUAAUCCAUCCUCUCCCAACCUGGGUACCAGAACCCACUAAUAGAUAGGUUUUUAGGUUGUUGGUUGGCUCGAAAAUCCAAGGCCAGCCCGUUUUCCACUGCAGCAGAGC
Etheostoma spectabile (orangethroat darter) is the source of this 1644-nucleotide long non-coding RNA. RefSeq lists it as uncharacterized. Lineage: Eukaryota; Metazoa; Chordata; Actinopteri; Perciformes; Percidae. The record is from RefSeq and is a predicted model, not a curated record. The transcript is spliced from 3 exons.